RNAcentral lists this ribosomal RNA (296 nucleotides) under uncultured bacterium. RNAcentral describes it as "partial 16S ribosomal RNA". It matches the Rfam family "Bacterial small subunit ribosomal RNA", at positions 775 to 1067 of the family's 1533-position model. The record is from RNAcentral.
GGAUUAGAUACCCUGGUAGUCCACGCCGUAAACGAUGUGUGCUAGCCGUUGGGCACUUAGGUGCGCAGUGGCGCAGCUAACGCGAUAAGCACACCGCCUGGGGAGUACGGUCGCAAGAUUAAAACUCAAAGGAAUUGACGGGGGCCCGCACAAGCGGUGGAGCAUGUUGUUUAAUUCGAUGCAACGCGCAGAACCUUACCAGCCCUUGACAUCCUGGUCGCGGAUUGUGGAGACACUUUCCUUCAGUUCGGCUGGACCAGUGACAGGUGAUGCAUGGCUGUCGUCAGCUCGUGCCG